Molecule: ribosomal RNA, 568 nt
Filed under: uncultured Neisseriaceae bacterium
Lineage: Bacteria; Pseudomonadati; Pseudomonadota; Betaproteobacteria; Neisseriales; Neisseriaceae
Description: bacterial SSU rRNA
Rfam family: Bacterial small subunit ribosomal RNA
Source: RNAcentral
ACAAUUAGCUGUUGGGACACUAGAUGUCUUAGUAGCGAAGCUAACGCGUGAAAUUGUCCGCCUGGGGAGUACGGUCGCAAGAUUAAAACUCAAAGGAAUUGACGGGGACCCGCACAAGCGGUGGAUGAUGUGGAUUAAUUCGAUGCAACGCGAAGAACCUCACCUGGUCUUGACAUGUACGGAAUCUCUUAGAGAUAGGAGAGUGCCUUCGGGAACCGUAACACAGGUGCUGCAUGGCUGUCGUCAGCUCGUGUCGUGAGAUGUUGGGUUAAGUCCCGCAACGAGCGCAACCCUUGUCAUUAGUUGCCAUCAUUAAGUUGGGCACUCUAAUGAGACCGCCGGUGAUAUGCCGGAGGAAGGUGGGGAUGACGUCAAGUCCUCAUGGCCCUUAUGACCAGGGCUUCACACGUCAUACAAUGGUCGGUACAGAGGGUAGCGAAGCCGCGAGGUGAAGCCAAUCUCAGAAAGCCGAUCGUAGUCCGGAUUGCACUCUGCAACUCGAGUGCAUGAAGUCGGAAUCGCUAGUAAUCGCAGGUCAGCAUACUGCGGUGAAUACGUUCCCGGGUCU